This 463-nucleotide ribosomal RNA is filed under the name uncultured Bacteroidales bacterium. Its description in RNAcentral is "bacterial SSU rRNA". It matches the Rfam family "Bacterial small subunit ribosomal RNA", at positions 335 to 795 of the family's 1533-position model. The record is from RNAcentral. Lineage: Bacteria; Pseudomonadati; Bacteroidota; Bacteroidia; Bacteroidales.
GGGCCUACGGGAGGCAGCAGUAAGGAAUAUUGGGCAAUGGACGCAAGUCUGACCCAGCCAUGCCGCGUGCAGGAUGACGGCCCUAUGGGCUGUAAACUGCUUUUGUACGGGAAGAACCCCUUCGAUUCUUCGGAGGCUGACGGUACUGUACGAAUAAGCAUCGGCUAACUCCGUGCCAGCAGCCGCGGUAAUCCGGAGGAUGCAAGCGUUAUCCGGAUUUAUUGGGUUUAAAGGGUGCGCAGGCGGAAUGGUAAGUCAGUGGUGAAAUCUCCCGGCUCAACCGGGAAACUGCCGUUGAUACUGCCGUUCUAGAGUACAGUUGGGGUGGGCGGAAUGUGUCAUGUAGCGGUGAAAUGCUUAGAUAUGACACAGAACACCGAUCGCGAAGGCAGCUCACCAAGUUGUAACUGACGCUCAUGCACGAAAGCGUGGGGAUCAAACAGGAUUAGAUACCCCAGUAGUC